Wyeomyia smithii (pitcher-plant mosquito) is the source of this 4448-nucleotide long non-coding RNA. RefSeq lists it as uncharacterized. NCBI's taxonomy places the organism in Eukaryota, Metazoa, Arthropoda, Insecta, Diptera, Culicidae. The record is from RefSeq and is a predicted model, not a curated record. The transcript is spliced from 3 exons.
UUUAUGCGCAGCCCUUGCAAACGCAGACGCAGAAACGUCAACCAAACGAAACUACAAAACAAAGUGCAAUCAAUCGGGAAAAAACUUACAACGUGUCCAUACUGUUUUACUCUUUCGCGAUAAUUAUUUACAAAUAUGAUGGAUUUUCAACUUAAAUUACGACUUAAAAUGAUAAUGGAGCUGCAACUAUUACGGGGGGAGUAUUUUAUACAAAAUUCUCUCUAAAAAAAUCUGAGUGCCUUGUGAUUUUACUUUCAGGAGCUGCGUCGUGGGAUUAACCAAUUAAGCGAAUCUCCCGAGCGUUGAACACCCACUAUCUUCAGUAAAUGGAUACUAAUAAUUGGGUUGUUUAGCUAUAUCUGUUUUUUAUGUCAUCUGAAAGAGCUGAAUUUUCUGAGCAAAACGUGAUUUUCAAAAAUUUUCUAUCGUCAUUCAAUUUUUAAAUCACGAAAUAAAACUGCUCAAAAUCGGUUCGAACACGCAAAAGUUGGAGUGUGCGUAACCAGAUCAUUUAUGAGCGAAAUUAGCGCAUUUACUGAUUAAAAUUGGAACCAGUACAACGCAUGUGCGUUUGACAUAACGCAUUUGAUGCUCUAGCGUAUUUUGAAUGUAUUGCGCAGCUCCAAACCAUUACACUUAUAAAGCAUCAGCCGAUGUUCAGAAGGUUGGCAUCGUUAAAACAGUGCAACCAGCAAUCAAUACUGAUAAGUUGGGUACUGACUCCAUUGAGGAAAUUAUUGUCUGAUCGAUUCACUUUCAUGAAUCAGGACAUUUGAAAACAUCAUUCAAUCAUUAACAAUAAACAAAAACAUGAGAUUAGUCCAAAACAUUUUGCAUUUAAUUAUGACUCUGGUUUCAUUCACAUGCAUUCGGUUCUGCGUUACUGGCACCAGCGUCAUUAACUUCCGCGGCAACAAGGCUCACUAUUGGCUGUAUCGGUUGCUGACGAUUUUUAGGGAUGCACGAGCCGUUGAUACGCACCGGCUCGCGAAAGUAAAGAACGGUUUUUCGAGCGCCUCGAAACUGAUCGUCCGAAGCCGAAGUUUACCGAGACAAUACGAUUUUUGUGUAUAUGAUUCAUAUUCUUAUUUUGAUCUCUGUCAAUGUAUUCCUUGUACAAGAUUUGCGUUAUGUGUAUCACGCAUUGGUUGUGCGAAGUCAGAGCAAAUUCUGUGCGAAUUGAAAGAAAACAUUGGAAGAUUAAAGCUUGAACUUUUGCGUGAAAUCGCUACAAUGACAGUUCGCCCAUAUACCAACUGUCAUUGUAGCGGUUUGGAGCGAUUUUUUAUUUUUCAUUUAAAAAUCGAAGGACAAUGAUAUUAAAUUUUUAAAAAUCAGGUUUUGCUCAGAAAAUUUCACUCUUUUACCUGAUAUAUAAAAAUCAUGAAUCCGUGAGUAGCUAAACAACCCAAUUACAAAACUAGCUUAAUGGAAAUAUUCCCGUUAAAAAAUUUUGACAGAUACAUUUCUACGCAUGUAUCAACUGAAUCGGGUACGUAUGUGAUCGACCUACUAAUCAACUAAUUUCGUCGAAUCGGAUAUGUUGACUGAUAUCUUCGCCUAAUAAAUCGAAAAAGUAAAUUGGUUAACGUAGUGUUACCAAGGAGGCAAAGGAACUGGCAACUUUGCUCGCCGUUAAUAAACGGCUAAUGCCGUGAUCGCUGAUCGGGGAUCAGCUUAUCUCUUUGGCUUUGAGAAGACAACGACAGUUUAUAAGGUGACGUAGGUUAGCUUGAAGUAAUUGAUUGUUAAAUUAAUUGAAUAAUUAAGAGUUCAUCCUGCAGCAGGUAAAUAAAUAACGUAUUUACCGUUCUUAUUAUUACAUACCGUACAUUUCGAUAAAGCUAGCUUAUAAAGCACUUAUAAAACCAAUACAGUUUUUCGGAUACACGUGUGUAGGGCUCACUGAUUUCUUUGAAGCUUUUUCUAUAAUUAAACUGCUACAAACAUCAGUGUGGGCUCUUACUCUACAAUCCGAAACAACAUUUCUUCAAAGAAAUCACUAUGGCCAGUGAACCUAACUUGAGACGGCUCCGGAACAGGGAGGUAAUUCGAGUUGCAGGGCAUGUAAGAGAACCGAUUCUGCAGAAACGAUGGUGGCAUGUGAUCGGUGUGACUUUUGGUGGCACUUUUCGUGUGCCGGAGUUACCUCGUCUGUUCAGACAAAGGAAUGGUUGUGUUCAUUGUGCACUCGCUCUCGUGCCAGUUCUCUGUCUGGGCUUUCAGCUACAUCAUCUCGUGCGGCUUUAUACGAACUAAAUCUAAAGCGUAUCGAGGAACAAAAACGACUGGAGAUGAAGCGUCUGGACAUCGAAGAAAAACAUCUGAAUGAAAAGUAUCGUCUUCUAGAGUACACUUUACAGGAAGAAAAUCGUAGUAUUCACAGUCAAAAAAGUAUUGGCCAUUCAAAGGUUGCAGAGUGGAUGGCAAAUUUGCCUAUUUCGACGAAUGAAUCAAACACAGCAAAUAAUAAAACGGUUAUCGAAGAGGAAGGCGCAGUCGGACGUGUUGAUAUACAUGAGCGACAGUCCCAGCAAGACGCUCCAUCGAAACAGCCGAAUCCUGACAAUAAAAAAGUGCGAAACGAAAAUCAUUCGUUGAUAAACUUACCACAUCCCGGAGGUAAAAAAAAUCCCAGUACGAGUAAUGCCAUAAACGAAUUUCAGCUGAGCAAGGCACUCUUACAGCAGCUGCACAAGUUUCAGACGGAACCGUCAGGUGAUGAUGAAGAGAAGAUGAGAAGGUUGAUAGAGCGGUAUAGAAACUGUCAGCUACAAGCAAAUUCUAAAGGACAGCCACACGAGCAGUGGACUGCUAGAGUUUCGACUGGCGCUGUUCCUAAAAAUGCGCCCACUAAAUACACAGUCGACGCGAUCGGCCCGAUAGGACAAACAGACAACCCUUGCUCGUGCAUCUCACUGUGCCACUCCCAAUAACAGGAUAGGAGGCGAUAUAUUUUCUGAUUCAAACGAUACUGAUGCGACAGAAGUAGAUGAGGCAAGAUCAGAUGCCAGUGAAACUGGCAUGAUGAGUACGCUAUCGAAGCAAAGGUUUCCGUUGGAUAAAAUGCGACAGAGUAAGGCCUCCGGUCAAGCACUGGAUCCCCCGCAGUUGUACUCUUCUGAAGCUGAACAGCGACUGACACAUCAGUAAUUGGCAGCCAGGCAGGUUCUACCACGUAGCUAACCGGUGUUUUCCGGCAAUCCGGCGGAUUGGCCGGUUUUCAUUAGCAACUACAAUUACACCACCGAGGCGUGUGGCUAUAGCGAAGUUGAAAACAUGAUUCGUUUGCAACAGUGUCUCAAAAGACCUGCAUGGGAAUCAGUACGAAGCAGACGUCCGUGCCACAUGUCAUCGAGGCACUUCUAAUGCGAUACGGGAGAUCGGAGAUGUUAAUUAAAUCAUUAAUAAUAAAAGUAAAAAAUGCUCCUUCGCCUAGGUCUGAUAAGUUAGAAACUAUCAUAGAAUUUGGUAUGCUCGUUCAGACGUUGCAUGACCAUAUCGUUGCGUCCAACUUAUUGGACCAUAUUGCCAAUCCGACUUUGCUGAAAGAUUUAGUAAUAAAAUUACUUGCCGAAUACAAAAUGCGGUGGGCCGCGUACCGAAGAAACUUUGUUGCAGCUAACAUAGGAACGUUUAGCGAAUUUAUGGAUGAGAUCGUUAACGAUGCUUAUAGCGUAUCCUGUCCGACAAGUUUUGAUAAAUCUGAGAAGCGGGAGGGAGCGCGAUCAAUCGGAAAGAGCAACCGGUAAUUCAAUCAACAGUGCGGGCUCUUACUCUACAAUCCGAAACAACACGUAGGGUGCAGAUUUAGUCGUUUGAUAAAUCAGUAAUUAUUUUUUUACAUUAUCACGUGUCAUUGUGAACGAUCAAUCAAUCCUCAGGCGGAAUAGACUCUUGUGGUGUUUACAUAAAUACUGUCGAUUUACUAAAAAGUGUCUUUAGAAACCUAAAUGGCGGAAUAAGAAAAAACUUAAUCGAUUUGAAGAAUAUGACAAAAUUUAUCGAAGUUGUUUGAAUAGUUCAACAAGCUCAGAGGAAAGCGAUAGUUAGGAAAGGGCGAUAUUAAACCCAGCUCCAGAACAACGAGAAGAAUACUCGGAGCAGAUUCUACAACAAAACGACGAUAACGAUAUUGGAAGUAGAGAAAUGAACCUUAAUAGCAGAGAUGACGAAGACAUCGGAAGAGAUAGUAUAGCACAGACUAUUACUUUGCCUGUUAUGUUUAAAAAUGUGAAAUCCAGCUUUGAAAAGGAACAUAUUCCGAAGACUACUCACUCACUUUUCUCAGAGAUGGCUGACCCGAUUUCCACAAAAUGAAUGUCAACUAAUAAGUCUAGCUGCCUCGUAACACACUAUUGAAUUUUAUUGUAAUCGAUAUGAAACUUUGUCUGUAAAGCACCGAAAUGUGAAAAUCACGAAACUUCAUUAUCUCAGUAACUACACAA